CAAAUUUUAAAUCUACCUGGUUUCCAGGUCGAGUUGUAAUUUGAAGAAGUGUUUUUUACUUUCCGGGUUGGGUUAAAUCCUUUGGGAUAAGGUAUCAUGGAGGGUGAGAAUCCCGUGUAUACCAACCGCAGGAUYGUUUAAUAUACACUUUCUAAGAGUCGAGUUGUUUGGGAAUGCAGCUCUAAAUGGGUGGUAAAUUUCACCUAAUGCUAAAUAUAAGCGAGAGACCGAUAGCGAACAAGUACCGUGAGGGAAAGAUGAAAAGAACUUUGAAAAGAGAGUUAAAUAGUACGUGAAAUUGUUGAAAGGGAAACGGUUGAAGUCAGUCAUGCCGGCGGGAAUCAACUUAGGGGAAACUCUGAGUGCACUUCUUCCCUUGGCAGGUUAGCGUCGAUUUUGGAUGUCAUAAAAUGACUGGGGGAAGGUAGCUCUUUCGGGAGUGUUAAGCCCUURGUAGAUGUGAUGUCYGGGAUCGAGGAUUGCAACGGAUACCUUUUGGGCUARCCGCCUAGUCUCUAAUACGAAGUUGGGUUAUGGACAGCAC
This 544-nucleotide ribosomal RNA is filed under the name Glomeromycotina sp. RNAcentral describes it as "eukaryotic LSU rRNA". It matches the Rfam family "Eukaryotic large subunit ribosomal RNA", at positions 110 to 617 of the family's 3401-position model. Lineage: Eukaryota; Fungi; Glomeromycota. The record is from RNAcentral.